GUCCGCGUGGAACAAGGUAGCUCGCUCCCUUCGCUUGAAUUUAAAGUUUGCUAAGCCAUUUAGGGGAGAGCCGGUGGUUCGAAUCCACCCGCGGGCA
Non-coding RNA from Mycena galopus ATCC 62051, 97 nucleotides. NCBI's taxonomy places the organism in Eukaryota, Fungi, Basidiomycota, Agaricomycetes, Agaricales, Mycenaceae. The record is from the annotation of a GenBank genome assembly.